AGGUAGUUGGUGGGGUAAGAGCCUACCAAGCCUAUGACGCCUAGCUGGUCUGAGAGGAUGAUCAGCCACACUGGAACUGAGACACGGUCCAGACUCCUACGGGAGGCAGCAGUGGGGAAUAUUGCACAAUGGGGGAAACCCUGAUGCAGCAACGCCGCGUGGAGGAUGACGCAUUUCGGUGUGUAAACUCCUUUUAUAUACCAAGAUAAUGACGGUAGUAUAUGAAUAAGCACCGGCUAACUCCGUGCCAGCAGCCGCGGUAAUACGGAGGGUGCAAGCGUUACUCGGAAUCACUGGGCGUAAAGGAUGCGUAGGCGGGUAAUCAAGUUGAAAGUGAAAUCCUAUGGCUUAACCAUAGAACUGCUCUCAAAACUGGUUACCUAGAAUAUGGAAGAGCAGAUGGAAUUAGUGGUGUAGGGGUAAGAUCCGUAGAGAUCACUAGAAUACCGAUUGCGAAGGCGAUCUGCUGGGACAUUAUUGACGCUGAGGCAUGAAAGCGUGGGGAGCGANCAGGAUAGAUACCUNGUAGUCCACGCCNUAAACGAUGUACACUAGUUGUUGCGAUGCUCGUCAUUGCAGUAAUACAGUUAACACAUUAAGUGUACCGCCUGGGGAGUACGGUCGCAAGAUUAAAACUCAAAGGAAUAGACGGGGACCCGCACAAGCGGUGGAGCAUGUGGUUUAAUUCGAAGAUACGCGAAGAACCUUACCUAGACUUGAAAUCCUUGGAAUCUUUCAGAGAUGAGAGAGUGCUUGUUUACAAGAACCAAGUGACAGGUGCUGCACGGCUGUCGUCAGCUCGUGUCGUGAGAUGUUGGGUUAAGUCCCGCAACGAGCGCAACCCUCGUGAUUAGUUGCUAACAGUUCGGCUGAGCACUCUAAUCAGACUGCCUUCGUAAGGAGGAGGAAGGUGAGGACGACGUCAAGUCAUCAUGGCCCUUAUGUCUAGGGCUACACACGUGCUACAAUGGUUGGGACAAAGAGCAGCGAUACCGCGAGGUGGAGCAAAUCUUAAAACCCAAUCUCAGUUCGGAUAGGAGUCUGCAACUCGACUCCUUGAAGCUGGAAUCGCUAGUAAUCGUAGAUCAGCAAUGCUACGGUGAAUACGUUCCCGGGUCUUGUACUCACCGCCCGUCA
Molecule: ribosomal RNA, 1137 nt
Filed under: uncultured bacterium
Lineage: Bacteria
Description: bacterial SSU rRNA
Rfam family: Bacterial small subunit ribosomal RNA
Source: RNAcentral